Molecule: transfer RNA, 68 nt
Filed under: Hemiselmis andersenii
Lineage: Eukaryota; Cryptophyceae; Cryptomonadales; Hemiselmidaceae
Rfam family: tRNA
About the family: Transfer RNA (tRNA) molecules are approximately 80 nucleotides in length. Their secondary structure includes four short double-helical elements and three loops (D, anti-codon, and T loops). Further hydrogen bonds mediate the characteristic L-shaped molecular structure. tRNAs have two regions of fundamental functional importance: the anti-codon, which is responsible for specific mRNA codon recognition, and the 3' end, to which the tRNAs corresponding amino acid is attached (by aminoacyl-tRNA synthetases). tRNAs cope with the degeneracy of the genetic code in two manners: having more than one tRNA (with a specific anti-codon) for a particular amino acid; and 'wobble' base-pairing, i.e. permitting non-standard base-pairing at the 3rd anti-codon position.
Source: RNAcentral
UCAUGGCCAAAUUGGAUAAGGCAUCGGCCUACGAAGCCGGGGAUUGCAGGUUCGAGUCCUGUUGUGUG